UAUGUAGCAGAGGCUGCCAUUAAAAACUCGCGGCCAUAGUGGGAGCAGCAACUAUCAAGAUGGUCAAAUCCAUUCUAAUCAAAGUCUAAGAACUCCAUCCUCUUCCUCAUUGAACCUUUCAGAUCUCUCGCUUCCCUUUCUGCUUUCUCGGCCUGUAUUAUCACAAGAUCCUCUGAAACACAAGUCAUGUGAGCAGGGAGUUCAUCCUUCUCACGAACCAAUUCUCCGAUUAAUACGACAUUCUCUCCCCGGAUCACAUAUAGACCAAGAGGAACAUCACAAUAUAGUUCACCUACAAUUACUCGUUCACAAGCACCCUGAAGAACAACAUUUGCUGCGAGGUAAAAAAAACAGAGUGUGCCAAGCAGCUUCCGUCCAUCUCGUAGUAGGACAAUAAAGCCUCACUGUCCAAGAAGCCGGCCAGGGACGUGGAGAGGAAGAUCUCGUCGGGCCCGGCCCACGACGACAUCGCCGACGCUCGGAACCCUUCAAAUCCCGGAG
This 501-nucleotide small RNA is filed under the name Oryza sativa Japonica Group (Japanese rice). RNAcentral describes it as "sRNA Os04g0445850". The record is from RNAcentral. Lineage: Eukaryota; Viridiplantae; Streptophyta; Magnoliopsida; Poales; Poaceae.